GGUGCUAGUUAAACUUGUAUUUUCAACAUUCCAUAAAUUUAUCUUGAGAGAACUAUCUCUUAAAAAAAUUAAAAUCAUAUUAUGAAAUCUAUUCAGCUAUAACACAGAGAGCUAGUGCUAAUCAAAUAUUAUAGGUGUUUCCUUUCAUUUCCUAGCCUUCUUUGUCAUUAAGUUGGGGCCAUGUGACUAUUUCUGGCUAAUGAAUACUAAGUGGAAGAGAAACUUGUCUCUUUAGGCCAAGGAAAACUGAGAAACCACAUAUCUGGGUGGUACAAGCACAAGAUGGUGGAACCUCUGUCCCUGGGUUCCGGGGACACUAUGGACAGAACGAUGUUCCACUGACCAGUGCUGGGCAUGGAACUUGAGCAAGAAAUAACAUUUCAAGAUUUGAGAGUUAACUCGCUACCCCACACAACAUAGCUUCUCCUAACUAUUAAUAAUAUAGCAGUUAAUAGGUACCAAGUGUCAGGUACACUUGCAAAUGCAUUAAAACAAAUUACAUCUGAAUUUCUUUCUCCUCUCUCAGUGGUCUUUUGUGCUAGGGAGAACAUCUGCUUCCUUGUUGAUUGGCAGUUGAAACAUCUGCAAUUUCAUCCUGAAGUCCUGAUCCUGAGUGUGUGUCUGAACUGAGGCUGAAGAUGACCAAACCUUCAACUCUGUAUCUUCCCUGCCUGGCGGAAUCUCAGUACAUCUUCUAAAGGUUCUUUUGGAUAUAUACCCAGAAGUGGAAUUGCUGGAUCAUAUGGAGUGAUGAGCCUGGUGCUCCUGUCUUCUGAACCCAAAUAAUCAUUUUCCGGGCCAUAUAUCUGAAGCAGGUGGAGGGAAUUCCCUUGAACACAGCCACCUUUCUCCUUGGGGACUUCAUCAUCUGGCCUGGGCCUGAGGAAAAUUUGACUAACUGGUGUCAUUCAAAAAAUCUGCCCUACCUUCUAACACCAAAGCUUUAUUAUCAGGUCAAGCAUUUUAUGUGAGGGCCUCUCUUCUCUGAAGAGGAUAAGUUAUUUUACAAGAGUUAUUUUCAAUUUCUCACGCAGGUCCACCUCCCUCCUGCCUGUCCCCUCUGGGCCACCUAAGCAGUCUUCCAGACGUUCUAGGGUGAAUACAUUUUGUGCUCUAGUUGAGAAUCCUGCCAGUUUCACAUAUAGGAGAAUUUUGGAAAGAUUUUUCCUUUAAAGAGGAGGAGAGAGAGACUAGAAGGAAUAAGAAAGAGUAUUAUGAAAUGACUACGUUACAUUUGGAUGUGAGAGAGAGUAGGGGGUAGGAUUUUAAGGCAGAAUGGGAGAUGUAGAGACUUGAAUUUGUGUAGUGGUCAUGGCAAGAAAGGGGUAGAUGCUGGGGGCUUGAUGAAAGAAGAACAAACAGAUAUAACAAGUGACUGGACCUGGAGAAAAAGGCCCUGAAGGCUGUUGUGGAUGGGUCUGAGUUUUCUGGGAAUUUCUGUCUCCAAACUUGAUUUGUAUGCACACUAAAAAUUGAAAUUUCAGAUCCUUAAUGGAAGUUUUCAAAGUUUUAUACCCCUCAUCAGCCACCCUACCUUAAAACCACCAGUUCUCUUAAAUUCUUCAGUGUCUACAUUAGAAGUCUUCCUUCCUUUGGUUUUCCCUAAGCACCAGUCUUGUGAGUGACUUGCUGUAACUUGUCUGCUUCUCUCUGUGUGGGAUGGAGACACAGACAUGCUUUCCUCACUGAGCACCCUGGUGAGUUGGAGUCCUAGGGCACCUUGUCUGUUGGUUUUGGAAGCAAUGUCUAGCCUUAGCAAGAGAUGGAAGGAAGACCCCUGGGAUUUCUUUGGGGUCGAAGAUAGAUAAUGUUCUCAGCACUCAAAUUGACUUUGAAUGAGCAUUCUUUACAUGAUUAUGGAAAGGAACAAUUUAAGGGUUGUUAGGAACCAAAAAGUCAGUUGGAUUUCUCCCCAACUUUCUUCACAGUCUAUAUUUAGGCUCCUCCAACAUACCAAAACUAUUUUAAGAGGAGUAUUUGACAUAUUUCUGAAAUAUUGCUCUGAACAUUUAAGCAAAUGAAUGACAGCAGGGACAGCUUUGAGAAAUAUUAUGAGCGGGUCUCCAGGACCCUUUUAUUUGGCCUCUUGCUCUUCUUCAUCGGUGCCUUCAUGCUGGCCCUGGUUGCUUAGAGCUCUUCACAGGGGACUCCACCAGGACUGACUUUCAAAAUCCUGUGGCCAAGCCUUUCCUUCCCAGAUCCAAUAUCAGACUGUCAUGUUUCUAGAGGACUGAAGGUAAUGGGUGGUCUAAUAAAUAGUAGUGAUAUAUAUGGUUUAUUGAAUGCCUGUCAUUGUGCAUUUCAUACAAUAUCUCAGUAAAUCCUUACAACAGUUUUAGGAGACAAGUAUUAGUGUUCCUCUUUACAAAUGAGGAAAGACUAAAACCCCAAUAAUAUAAAUAAGUUGAGCAAAAUUCAUGCAGCUUGUAAGUGCCAGAGCUAGAAUAGGACCACGAGUCUCUGUAGUAAUGUACAGGCAUGGUAAUUAUGCUUUUGAUCCAGUAAUUAGGAAUAUUUUCUGAUAGGGAUUACAGGAAUCAAAGCAAGCUCUCAGAGCUCUAUCUUUGAUAAGUUUAUUCUAGUAGGGCCCUAUUCUCUUAAAAUUGCUUUUUAGUGAAGUAAGCUCUUUGCAAAGCUCUUGUUAACAGAG
Molecule: non-coding RNA, 2650 nt
Organism: Microcebus murinus (gray mouse lemur)
Lineage: Eukaryota; Metazoa; Chordata; Mammalia; Primates; Cheirogaleidae
Source: RefSeq, a predicted model, not a curated record